GGUUGUCCAUUAAGAAACAUUUCACGUCUAAGGUGACUGGUAAGUGCUGGGCUCAAUUGCUGACUGAAGAUGUGAAGACAAUUAGACAAGCAUCCAUCACAAGAGGUUAAUAUACAGCAGAUUAUUUUGAGAAAAGAUUAUGGAAUAGAUUUCAUGAAGUUGCUUUUUGUUGUUUUCCAUCUUUUUCAGAAUCUUUGCUGGUGAAACUAUAUUUUGCGAGGUAAAGUUCUAACAGCUUUGCAGGAGCCUCCAAGAGUUUUUGUCAGCUGUACAGAGGGGAUGAGGCUCCUCCUAAAGGUGAUAUCGCUGCUCUGCAUGGCUAUGUAGAAGAUGGGAAAUUUUUUUUUGAACUGAUUAAAAUCCUCUGAAAUUUGCUGGAAAUUGUUCUGUGGCCAGCAAAGAUCCCGAUGUUAAAAGCUCUGUUUGAACUAAAAACGAACCUUUCACUGCAGGGGAUUAUCUGGACCAGAAAAAACCUGUUCUUUAUUCUGAGAUUUAAUGGAUUAAAUAGUGCAGGGAUGGAGUGCAUCUGAAAAAAACAUCUCCAGUGCUUUUCUCCUAAACUUUGGAAACUGAUUGUCACUUUGAAUUUGAUUGUGAGAGGUGGAUGGAGACACAAACACUGAGAAAUUUUAAAUCCAUUUUUGUCUUUUGUGAGCCUUUGUAUUAAUAAUUUGUAGAAAAGAAAUUUAUUCCAGACUCAAUUUUUAUCUAUCAUACCUAUACAUUUAUAUGCAUUUAUAAAUAGAAUACUAUUGUUCCAGCAUUAAAUUAAUAUUGAAAUAUAAGACUGUAUUAAGUAAAUGAAUAGUAUUUUUUCCCAGAUUGUAUUGUCACAUAUCCAUUAGCACUGAUUUUGAUAGUAAGUGCUUGGAGGAGGAAAACACUCCUGUUUGGAGCUGAUGAAUGUUCCACGUUGCAAAACGGGCAUUGCUGAAUGAAAGGAGGCUUUCCCCUCUGUGACCAGAUAGAA
This 973-nucleotide long non-coding RNA is filed under the name Junco hyemalis (dark-eyed junco). RNAcentral describes it as "lncRNA (ENSJHYG00000015836.1)". The record is from RNAcentral. Lineage: Eukaryota; Metazoa; Chordata; Aves; Passeriformes; Passerellidae.